This is a transfer RNA of Loxodonta africana (African savanna elephant), 71 nucleotides long. It matches the Rfam family "tRNA". Rfam says of the family: Transfer RNA (tRNA) molecules are approximately 80 nucleotides in length. Their secondary structure includes four short double-helical elements and three loops (D, anti-codon, and T loops). Lineage: Eukaryota; Metazoa; Chordata; Mammalia; Proboscidea; Elephantidae. The record is from Rfam.
GCAGUGGUGGGUCAGUGGUAGAAUUCUUUCCUUCCAUGUGAGGGACCCAGGUUCAAUUCCCAGCCAGUGCA